AAGAUAUGUCUUUUUAACCAAAACGUAGCGAUGCAAAUGUAGCCUAGAUCAUCUUCAUUAAUUAAAACAGAAGUUUGUAGAUCCCCCUGAGUGUUUUUUUUCUUGUAAAACAGAGCCAGAAA
Long non-coding RNA from Sander lucioperca (pikeperch), 122 nucleotides. RefSeq lists it as uncharacterized. NCBI's taxonomy places the organism in Eukaryota, Metazoa, Chordata, Actinopteri, Perciformes, Percidae. The transcript has 3 exons. The record is from RefSeq and is a predicted model, not a curated record.